GUCCAAGGUUAUUCCCUCUCCAAGGGGCUGAUUAGUGCCUCUUUCAGGACCGUUAAAACUUUGAAAAAAAAUCUGGCAUGUCUGAGGUCUGGAGAGCAAAGGCAGCUUGUUGCCUUUGCCUGCCUACAUGUUUGCCUUUAAAA
This is a small nucleolar RNA of Chionomys nivalis (European snow vole), 143 nucleotides long. RefSeq annotates it as small nucleolar RNA SNORA67. NCBI's taxonomy places the organism in Eukaryota, Metazoa, Chordata, Mammalia, Rodentia, Cricetidae. The transcript has a single exon. The record is from RefSeq and is a predicted model, not a curated record.